This 529-nucleotide ribosomal RNA is filed under the name uncultured Pedobacter sp. Its description in RNAcentral is "bacterial SSU rRNA". It matches the Rfam family "Bacterial small subunit ribosomal RNA", at positions 92 to 619 of the family's 1533-position model. The record is from RNAcentral. Lineage: Bacteria; Pseudomonadati; Bacteroidota; Sphingobacteriia; Sphingobacteriales; Sphingobacteriaceae.
AGACCGGCGCACGGGUGCGUAACGCGUAUGCAACCUACCUUCAUCUGGGGGAUAGCCCGAAGAAAUUCGGAUUAACACCGCAUAAAAUCACAGAACGGCAUCGUUCAAUGAUCAAAUAUUUAUAGGAUGGAGAUGGGCAUGCGUGUCAUUAGUUAGUUGGCGGGGUAACGGCCCACCAAGACCGCGAUGACUAGGGGAUCUGAGAGGAUGGCCCCCCACACUGGUACUGAGACACGGACCAGACUCCUACGGGAGGCAGCAGUAAGGAAUAUUGGUCAAUGGAGGCAACUCUGAACCAGCCAUGCCGCGUGCAGGAAGACAGCCCUCUGGGUCGUAAACUGCUUUUAUUCGGGAAUAAACCUACUUACGUGUAAGUAGCUGAAUGUACCGAAGGAAUAAGGAUCGGCUAACUCCGUGCCAGCAGCCGCGGUAAUACGGAGGAUCCAAGCGUUAUCCGGAUUUAUUGGGUUUAAAGGGUGCGUAGGCGGCCUGUUAAGUCAGGGGUGAAAGACGGUAGCUCAACUAUCGC